AAGCCAGUGGUGAACUCCACAUACGCAUCCUUUGCUGAGGAUACGGUUAACGGAGCGAAAGCGACGUUCAACCGCAAAAGAAGCAGAGGGGGCUUAGUGGUGGGGUGACUGCGUACCUUUUGUAUAAUGGGUCAGCGACUUAUAUUCUGUAGCAAGGUUAACCGUAUAGGGGAGCCGGAGGGAAACCGAGUCUUAACCGGGCGUUAAGUUGCAGGGUAUAGACCCGAAACCCGGUGAUCUAGCCAUGGGCAGGUUGAAGGUUGGGUAACACUAACUGGAGGACCGAACCGACUAAUGUUGAAAAAUUAGCGGAUGACCUGUGGCUGGGGGUGAAAGGCCAAUCAAACCGGGAGAUAGCUGGUUCUCCCCGAAAGCUAUUUAGGUAGCGCCUCGUGAACUCAUCUCCGGGGGUAGAGCACUGUUUCGGCUAGGGGGCCAUCCCGGCUUACCAACCCGAUGCAAACUGCGAAUACCGGAGAAUGUUAUCACGGGAGACACACGGCGGGUGCUAACGUCCGUCGUGAAGAGGGAAACAACCCAGACCGCCAGCUAAGGUCCCAAAGUCAUGGUUAAGUGGGAAACGAUGUGGGAAGGCCCAGACAGCCAGGAUGUUGGCUUAGAAGCAGCCAUCAUUUAAAGAAAGCGUAAUAGCUCACUGGUCGAGUCGGCCUGCGCGGAAGAUGUAACGGGGCUAAACCAUGCACCGAAGCUGCGGCAGCGAACGUAUCACCCAAGACAACUUUACGGAGUUGACGAUUGACGGAGCGAAGCGACGUCAAAGCGUUCAUUAAAGUCGAGUUGGCUUAGGGAUACGUUCGUUGGGUAGGGGAGCGUUCUGUAAGCCUGUGAAGGUGGCCUGUGAGGGUUGCUGGAGGUAUCAGAAGUGCGAAUGCUGACAUAAGUAACGAUAAAGCGGGUGAAAAGCCCGCUCGCCGGAAGACCAAGGGUUCCUGUCCAACGUUAAUCGGGGCAGGGUGAGUCGACCCCUAAGGCGAGGCCGAAAGGCGUAGUCGAUGGGAAACGGGUUAAUAUUCCCGUACUUGGUGUUACUGCGAAGGGGGGACGGAGAAGGCUAUGUUGGCCGGGCGACGGUUGUCCCGGUUUAAGCGUGUAGGUGUGUGUUCCAGGUAAAUCCGGUUCACUUUAACACUGAGGCGUGACGACGAGGCACUACGGUGCUGAAGCAACAAAUGCCCUGCUUCCAGGAAAAGCCUCUAAGCAUCAGGUAACAUCAAAUCGUACCCCAAACCGACACAGGUGGUCAGGUAGAGAAUACCAAGGCGCUUGAGAGAACUCGGGUGAAGGAACUAGGCAAAAUGGUGCCGUAACUUCGGGAGAAGGCACGCUGACACGUAGGUGAAGUGAUUUACUCAUGGAGCUGAAGUCAGUCGAAGAUACCAGCUGGCUGCAACUGUUUAUUAAAAACACAGCACUGUGCAAACACGAAAGUGGACGUAUACGGUGUGACGCCUGCCCGGUGCCGGAAGGUUAAUUGAUGGGGUCAGCGCAAGCGAAGCUCCUGAUCGAAGCCCCGGUAAACGGCGGCCGUAACUAUAACGGUCCUAAGGUAGCGAAAUUCCUUGUCGGGUAAGUUCCGACCUGCACGAAUGGCGUAAUGAUGGCCAGGCUGUCUCCACCCGAGACUCAGUGAAAUUGAACUCGCUGUGAAGAUGCAGUGUACCCGCGGCAAGACGGAAAGACCCCGUGAACCUUUACUAUAGCUUGACACUGAACAUUGAGCCUUGAUGUGUAGGAUAGGUGGGAGGCUUUGAAGUGUGGACGCCAGUCUGCAUGGAGCCGACCUUGAAAUACCACCCUUUAAUGUUUGAUGUUCUAACGUGGACCCGUUACCCGGGUUGCGGACAGUGUCUGGUGGGUAGUUUGACUGGGGCGGUCUCCUCCUAAAGAGUAACGGAGGAGCACGAAGGUUGGCUAAUCCUGGUCGGACAUCAGGAGGUUAGUGCAAUGGCAUAAGCCAGCUUGACUGCGAGCGUGACGGCGCGAGCAGGUGCGAAAGCAGGUCAUAGUGAUCCGGUGGUUCUGAAUGGAAGGGCCAUCGCUCAACGGAUAAAAGGUACUCCGGGGAUAACAGGCUGAUACCGCCCAAGAGUUCAUAUCGACGGCGGUGUUUGGCACCUCGAUGUCGGCUCAUCACAUCCUGGGGCUGAAGUAGGUCCCAAGGGUAUGGCUGUUCGCCAUUUAAAGUGGUACGCGAGCUGGGUUUAGAACGUCGUGAGACAGUUCGGUCCCUAUCUGCCGUGGGCGCUGGAGAACUGAGGGGGGCUGCUCCUAGUACGAGAGGACCGGAGUGGACGCAUCACUGGUGUUCGGGUUGUCAUGCCAAUGGCACUGCCCGGUAGCUAAAUGCGGAAGAGAUAAGUGCUGAAAGC
Molecule: ribosomal RNA, 2390 nt
Filed under: Salmonella enterica subsp. enterica serovar Ajiobo
Lineage: Bacteria; Pseudomonadati; Pseudomonadota; Gammaproteobacteria; Enterobacterales; Enterobacteriaceae
Description: partial 23S ribosomal RNA
Rfam family: Bacterial large subunit ribosomal RNA
Source: RNAcentral